Molecule: ribosomal RNA, 446 nt
Filed under: Peckia uncinata
Lineage: Eukaryota; Metazoa; Arthropoda; Insecta; Diptera; Sarcophagidae
Description: partial 16S ribosomal RNA
Source: RNAcentral
AUUAAAUGGCCGCAGUAUAUUAACUGUGCAAAGGUAGCAUAAUCAUUAGUCUUUUAAUUGGAGGCUAGUAUGAAUGGUUGAACGAAAUAUUAACUGUUUCAUAUAAAUUUAAUAUAGAAUUUUAUUUUUUAGUCAAAAAGCUAAAAUUUAUUUAAAAGACGAGAAGACCCUAUAAAUCUUUAUAUUAAGUAUAUUAUAAUUUUAUAGAUUUUUUUUAUUAUAAUUUAUUAUAAUAUUUUAUUGGGGUGAUAUUAAAAUUUAAAAAAUUUUUAAUUUUUAUUUUCAUUAAUUUAUGAAUAAUUGAUCCAUUAAUAGUGAUUAAAAAAUCAAGUUACUUUAGGGAUAACAGCGUAAUUUUUUUGGAGAGUUCAUAUCGAUAAAAAAGAUUGCGACCUCGAUGUUGGAUUAAGAUAUAAUUUUAGGUGUAGAAGCUUAAAUUUUAAGUC